CUCCAGUGUAAUAUAUUAUAACGUGAUAUCCAGUCUACUCAGUAGAAGAAUUUAUAAAUACAUGAGUAUAGGAUGGAUGGACAUGUUGCACACACAGGAGAUAUAAGAAACAUAAGAUGUUGGUCAGAAAACCCAAAGGAAAGAGACAGGUGUUCUUCACACUUUAGCAUGAUUAAAGGACUACCUUAUGGACCCAUUCAUGUCUGUCUGUCUGUGACAAAUUUUUCCUAUGAGGUCUUUCACCAUGAUGGAUUAGAACACCAGAGAUGCCCACUAUGGGCUUGGCCACACAUGUUGGUAAGCCACCUCUGGCACCUGCAUUUCCUUGAGAAAACCCUACAGAUUUACCCGUCUUGCUCCAAUCCAGGGUUGACAUCCCCACACCUUUACAAACCAGACAAAUCACCAGCAUUUUUGCUCAAUGAGACUGUACCCCCAGCACUUGCUGUUUCAUAGGCUUUCCCUCCAGGCUUUCAGAAUUCAUAGCUUUGCCAUUGCUGGACUUGAUGUUACUGGGCUGUCGCCAUUGAGGGUUAGACUACCCAGGGCUGGCUACACAGAGGCAUGAAACAGAAGAUGUGAGGGAAACACGGUUUAGCAACCAUGCGGUUAGGAGAAGAGGUGAUGAAGUUGUGGUGACCAUAUAACUGGGAAUGGAGUGAUAGGUAUAUAUCUGAUGAAGAAAUUCUGUUUUUUGAGUUUCAUUAUCAUGUUUUCUGCCAUUGGACCAUUUUCUGUGAAGUCCAAACUUCAUGUCAAUUUUAAUACUGAUCUUCCCAUCUGUGCCCAGGUUUUUCAUAUAGUCUCUUCCCUUGAUGAGAUUUUUUGACUGAAGUUGUGCGCUUUUCAGCUAUUUUGGUUUCAUCACUAACAGUACAAGGUGAAAGGUACAACUGUUGAGGCUCCUUAUUAUGUAAUUUUUUCCUUGCUCCUGUUACUUCCUUUUAAGUAUUCUCAGCACAGUUUUCAAGCACUGUCUGUGUUUUUGACAUAGAAGAUUAAGACGACCAGGUAUGACCCAAUAGCUUGAUCAUAGUUUACUAUUCUAUAAUUCAUUUUGGUUUAAUGUAACAGAUGAAGUGUGCAUUUUAUCUUGAGGUUUUAAGAUGGAACACACUGAAAUAGUUUUUAUACUGAAGGGUGGAUUAAUGCAUUUGUUUCCUACCUGUUUUGAUGUAGAUGUAAUCAGUAUUUACAUCGU
Molecule: non-coding RNA, 1201 nt
Organism: Zootermopsis nevadensis
Lineage: Eukaryota; Metazoa; Arthropoda; Insecta; Blattodea; Termopsidae
Source: RefSeq, a predicted model, not a curated record